AGAGUUUGAUCCUGGCUCAGAACGAACGCUGGCGGCGUGUUUAAGACAUGCAAGUCGCACGGGAUCAUUUGAGUAGCAAUACAAGAAUGGUUUAGUGGCGCACGGGUGAGUAACACGUGAAUUACAUGCCCUGCAGAGGGGGAUAGCCCAGGGAAACUUGGAUUAAUACCCCAUGGUAUCGCAAGAUUAAACGGUGGCCGCAAGGCUGUCGCUGCAGGAUUGGUUCGCGCCCUAUCAGCUUGUUGGUGAGGUAACGGCUCACCAAGGCUACGACGGGUACCUGGUCUGAGAGGACGAUCAGGCACACUGGAACUGAGACACGGUCCAGACACCUACGGGUGGCAGCAGUCGAGAAUAAUUCACAAUGGGGGCAACCCUGAUGGUGCAACGCCGCGUGGAGGAUGACGGUCUUCGGAUUGUAAACUCCUGUCAUCUGGGAGUAAGACCUGGUCGUUAAUAGCGGACAGGGUUGAUAGUACCAGAAGAGGAAGGGACGGCUAACUUCGUGCCAGCAGCCGCGGUAAUACGAAGGUCCCGAGCGUUGUUCGGAAUCACUGGGCGUAAAGGGAGCGUAGGCGGCGUGGUAAGUCAGAUGUGAAAUCCCGGGGCUCAACCCCGGAACUGCAUCCGAUACUGCCGUGCUAGAGGAUUGGAGAGGUAGCUGGAAUUCUUGGUGUAGCAGUGAAAUGCGUGGAUAUCAAGAGGAACACUCGUGGCGAAAGCGAGCUACUGGACAACUCCUGACGCUGAGGCUCGAAGGCCAGGGUAGCGAAAGGGAUUAGAUACCCCUGUAGUCCUGGCAGUAAACGGUGCACGCUUGGUGUGAGGGGAAUCGACCCCCCUUGUGCCGGAGCAAACGCGUUAAGCGUGCCGCCUGGGAAGUACGGUCGCAAGACUAAAACUCAAAGAAAUUGACGGGGACCCGCACAAGCGGUGGAGUAUGUGGCUUAAUUCGAUGCAACGCGAAGAACCUUACCAAGGCUUGACAUGGAUUUCUAAGCACGUGAAAGCGU
Molecule: ribosomal RNA, 1013 nt
Filed under: uncultured bacterium
Lineage: Bacteria
Description: bacterial SSU rRNA
Rfam family: Bacterial small subunit ribosomal RNA
Source: RNAcentral